Molecule: long non-coding RNA, 951 nt
Organism: Nothobranchius furzeri (turquoise killifish)
Lineage: Eukaryota; Metazoa; Chordata; Actinopteri; Cyprinodontiformes; Nothobranchiidae
Source: RefSeq, a predicted model, not a curated record
CUGUGCGACUUUUUCACUCGCAGCGCUCAGCUUCAGCUCAAACUGUACGACUUCCUCGCAGGGCAGAUCUCACGAGUCGUGUGCUCACACUGUACGACCCAGUUCUCGCAUGCGACCUGACUGCUCACACUGUACGUCUGGUAGCAACACGUCGGCCCUAAAAAUGUGCUAAAAAUAGCAGUUUUUACUCAACACGUCAGACUUUUUUGUCUUGCCUGUUGUCCUUCGGGAGUGCUGCAGGAGGACACACAGGGAUUUAUGGGGGUUGGAUGAGGAAAACGACAUAAAGAAAGUGAAUCUGUCAGGGCCGGCUUUGUCGACAGGCAACACAGGCGGCCACCUGGGGCGCCAUCUGAUGGAUAGGGCGCAAAAUUUCAAAAAAAAAAAAAAAAAAAAGUUCAUUAAAUUCAUGUUUGUUAUAUGAAAAGCGCUCUCUACAUACUCAAAAUUCCCCUUUGAAAUGACAUGAAAUGAAAACAUCAAUAUUUAAAUUCUAAUGAUCUGGCUGCAUUUCGAGCUCCCGCUUGAGCCACCGCUCCAAAGCAUUUGACCGUUAAGGUUGCCAUAGUUACGUGUGUGGGUGGCACUGUAGAAGGACAUCCUGUUGUCGCGUUUAAACGUUUGAUAUUUUACAAGGAAAAGAACACCUAAGCCAUCGGGAUCAGCAUUCCGAAAGCGAAGGAAGGAAGAAGAAUAAAAACGGGCCCAAAGCAGAGUGUCUUCAUCCAGGCAUCACGCAGCAGCAGCACAUUUACUGAGCUACAGUCUCAGCAUCUAGAACCAGAAGAAGAACCCAACACCAGCAGACUCAGUGCUCCAAUCCAACAGCCUGAAGAGACACCAUCAUCAGCUUCAACAGAUGUGUGUGAACAUGUAUGAGCUGCUGGCCCCAUGGAUCCUGCUGACUGGCCACAGCAGUAGAACAAAAUGGAAAGUAGAACUUUCUUUAUG